GUAGGAGAAAGUGCAGAGUCACCAUGUGAGCCUGGAAAGACAGGACGCUUGUUGAUGACAUUCAAUAAGCAGUGGGACCUGGCAAAACAAGGGAAAAUCCAGCAAUACUCCUGCCUCCAGAAUCUUGCCCUAUUUGAGUUCCUGUCCUGACUUCCUUCAGUGAUGAACAGCAACAUAAAAGUCCUUCAUCCAGCAGCUGGUGGAAGUAGAAGUAGACACUCACAGCUAAACACUGAACUGAACUGGAAUCCAGUUGCAGAGAAGGAGGAAUGAUGAGCAAAGUGGACAAGACCUUGCUGGUGAAAUCCACAGAAACAGCUGACCUGAACAAGGUGGAACUCUUGGCCCCCAGACUGAUCAUGGGAAACCAGCAUAGGACUGAUCCAGACCCCAUGAAUGUGGGUGUCAGGGAGGAGGCCUCUGAAAUCUAUGGGGCCUCUUGUAGUAGAUCAGUACUUAUCCCUAGCAUAGGAAUGGACUUUGGGAGCCCAUUUCACAUAGAGGGAUACUCCCUCAGCCUAGACACACAGGGGAGGAGGGCCUAGGCCCUAUCCCAAAGGAUAUGACAGACUCUGAAGAGAUCCCCUAUGGAAGGCCUCACCCUCCCUGGGGAGCAGAAAUGGUAUGGAAUAGGUAGGGUGUUUAUUGGGGGGCAGGGGAGGAGAAGAGGGAGAGGGAACUGGGAUUUACAUGUAAAACAAUAUUGUUUCUAAUUUAAAUAAAA
This 724-nucleotide long non-coding RNA is filed under the name Cricetulus griseus (Chinese hamster). RNAcentral's name for it is "lncRNA (ENSCGRG00015029010.1)". Lineage: Eukaryota; Metazoa; Chordata; Mammalia; Rodentia; Cricetidae. The record is from RNAcentral.